CCCGCGGCAAGACGGAAAGACCCCGUGAACCUUUACUAUAGCUUGACACUGAACACUGGUCCUUGAUGUGUAGGAUAGGUGGGAGGCUUUGAAGCGUGGACGCCAGUCUGCGUGGAGCCAUCCUUGAAAUACCACCCUUUAAUGGCUGGUGUUCUAACGUAGACCCGUGAUCCGGGUUGCGGACAGUGUCUGGUGGGUAGUUUGACUGGGGCGGUCUCCUCCCAAAGAGUAACGGAGGAGCACGAAGGUUGGCUAAUCCUGGUCGGACAUCAGGAGGUUAGUGCAAUGGCAUAAGCCAGCUUGACUGCGAGCGUGACGGCGCGAGCAGGUGCGAAAGCAGGUCAUAGUGAUCCGGUGGUUCUGAAUGGAAGGGCCAUCGCUCAACGGAUAAAAGGUACUCCGGGGAUAACAGGCUGAUACCGCCCAAGAGUUCAUAUCGACGGCGGUGUUUGGCACCUCGAUGUCGGCUCAUCACAUCCUGGGGCUGAAGUAGGUCCCAAGGGUAUGGCUGUUCGCCAUUUAAAGUGGUACGCGAGCUGGGUUUAGAACGUCGUGAGACAGUUCGGUCCCUAUCUGCCGUGGGCGCUGGAGAAUUGAGGGGGGCUGCUCCUAGUACGAGAGGACCGGAGUGGACGCAUCACUGGUGUUCGGGUUGUCAUGCCAAUGGCACUGCCCGGUAGCUAAAUGCGGAAGAGAUAAGUGCUGAAAGCAU
RNAcentral lists this ribosomal RNA (712 nucleotides) under Enterobacter hormaechei subsp. xiangfangensis. RNAcentral's name for it is "partial 23S ribosomal RNA". It matches the Rfam family "Bacterial large subunit ribosomal RNA", at positions 2069 to 2780 of the family's 2925-position model. Lineage: Bacteria; Pseudomonadati; Pseudomonadota; Gammaproteobacteria; Enterobacterales; Enterobacteriaceae. The record is from RNAcentral.